This 28-nucleotide non-coding RNA is filed under the name Bombyx mori (domestic silkworm). Lineage: Eukaryota; Metazoa; Arthropoda; Insecta; Lepidoptera; Bombycidae. The record is from RNAcentral.
UCAUGGUCAAAGUUGUUACGUUGCGUGG